RNA transcript from Salvelinus namaycush (lake trout), 1393 nucleotides. It is a transcript of the gene named zinc finger protein 8-like, with no coding region annotated. The transcript is spliced from 3 exons. The record is from RefSeq and is a predicted model, not a curated record. NCBI's taxonomy places the organism in Eukaryota, Metazoa, Chordata, Actinopteri, Salmoniformes, Salmonidae.
AUGAGGGGAAUGGAACCUCAACCCAGCAUGUUAUCAUGAUAGAGUCUGCAGAUACAGAGGCUGCAGGUCCUGGGGUGAAGCAAGAGAGGUCUGAAAGAGAGGAGGACCUACGGCACAGCAGAAACAUCCAGACUGGAGCGGCUGGAGCGUCCUCUGUAGCCACGAAGGACCCCACCACGGCCCCAGCGCAGACCAGUGCCGGCUCAGUGUAUUUACCGGUAUUUCACCAGAGCCAGGGGACGGUUCAUUCCUGUGGAGAUGGUGACGCAUUAGUCACUGGUGGUGAUGAUCCGUCAUGUUCUUACACUACAGAGAUGGACCCUGGCACCAUAUCCUUGGGUUUAGAGACACAGACUGAUCUGUCUAAAGGGGAAUGGAACCGGUACAGUAGAAGUGUAUACUCUGAAGGGUGCCUAGAUAAGAAAGGGGAGGGUCUGGUCGUAGAUGAGGUGACUGUGAAAGUGGAGGGCGACGCUCCUCCCACAUGGAAUGCAGAUAGUCACCUAGGAGACAGACACUCACAGGGCAGAGAUUUCUUAGAUUACAGGGAAAGCUUAGAGACAAAUCCAAAUGUUGCGACCCACUCCCCUUUACACAUCCUCAGGGAUCGCGACCCAGUGUCCACGUCGAUGGGGCUUUCUGAUUCACACGGCCAUGUCCUUUUCAAUCAGGUAUUGAGCGCAAACGACAGGGCUAGAGCUCAGGGAGGGGGAGCCACAUCAGGCAAUAGUAAAGAGAAACGGUUCCUCUGCAUGUUCUGUAACAAAGGCUUCAGCUGCCCCCAGAAAGUGGAGAUCCACCAGAGGGUCCACACAGGGGAGAAACCCUUCAGUUGUACCCAAUGUCACAUGCGCUUCGCUGAGGCUGGCAGCCUGAAGAGGCACCAGAGGGUCCACACAGGGGAGAAACCCUACAGCUGCCCCCAGUGUGAGAAGAGGUUCUCCCACCAGCACCAUCUGAAGAGGCACUUGAAGGUCCACACGGAAUAGAGGUCGUUCGCCUGUAAGCACUAUCGGAAGAGGUUCUCGGAGAAGAGUUACCUCGGGAUACACCAGCAGAAAAACGAUUCCACUCUAUAACAUAGAAAGUAACCAUUCCAUUCAAUGGCUUCUAACGUUUAGAUCAAACUCUGUCCCCAGAAGGUGGAGAUCCACCAGAGGGUCCACACGAGAUGACGUAGAUCAAUUUCCAGAACAACAAGGCCAAGACAUUUUGGGAUAUAUAAGGCCUAAAAAGACUUAAUUUAGCCUACAAACGUGGUAGUUACAGUUUUGUCCCAUGCUGCAACUCCCAUUUGGGAAAGGAGAAGGUGGAGAGCAGUGCAUCCUCCGAAACACAACCCAACCAAGCCACACUGCUUCUUGACUCAAUGCCCGCUUAACCCGGAAUGCAG